Molecule: ribosomal RNA, 551 nt
Filed under: uncultured bacterium
Lineage: Bacteria
Description: bacterial SSU rRNA
Rfam family: Bacterial small subunit ribosomal RNA
Source: RNAcentral
AAUAGAUACCCAGGUAGUCCACGCCGUAAACGAUGAGUGCUAAGUGUUAGGGGGUUUCCGCCCCUUAGUGCUGCAGCUAACGCAUUAAGCACUCCGCCUGGGGAGUACGGUCGCAAGACUGAAACUCAAAGGAAUUGACGGGGGCCCGCACAAGCGGUGGAGCAUGUGGUUUAAUUCGAAGCAACGCGAAGAACCUUACCAGGUCUUGACAUCCCAUUGACCACUAUGGAGACAUAGUUUUCCCUUCGGGGACAACGGUGACAGGUGGUGCAUGGUUGUCGUCAGCUCGUGUCGUGAGAUGUUGGGUUAAGUCCCGCAACGAGCGCAACCCUUGUUCUUAGUUGCCAUCAUUUAGUUGGGCACUCUAAGGAGACUGCCGGUGACAAACCGGAGGAAGGUGGGGAUGACGUCAAAUCAUCAUGCCCCUUAUGACCUGGGCUACACACGUGCUACAAUGGACGGUACAAACCGGUUGCCAACCCGCGAGGGGAGCUAAUCCGAUAAAACCGUUCUCAGUUCGGAUUGUAGGCUGCAACUCGCCUACAUGGAAC